AUUAAACGCUGGCGGCAUGCCUUACACAUGCAAGUCGAACGGCAGCACGGGGGCAACCCUGGUGGCGAGUGGCGAACGGGUGAGUAACGCAUCGGAACGUGCCCUGGAGUGGGGGAUAACGUAGCGAAAGUUACGCUAAUACCGCAUAUUCUGUGAGCAGGAAAGCAGGGGAUCGCAAGACCUUGCGCUCUGGGAGCGGCCGAUGUCGGAUUAGCUAGUUGGUGGGGUAAAGGCCUACCAAGGCGACGAUCCGUAGCGGGUCUGAGAGGAUGAUCCGCCACACUGGGACUGAGACACGGCCCAGACUCCUACGGGAGGCAGCAGUGGGGAAUUUUGGACAAUGGGCGCAAGCCUGAUCCAGCCAUGCCGCGUGAGUGAAGAA
This 382-nucleotide ribosomal RNA is filed under the name uncultured bacterium. RNAcentral describes it as "bacterial SSU rRNA". It matches the Rfam family "Bacterial small subunit ribosomal RNA", at positions 29 to 412 of the family's 1533-position model. The record is from RNAcentral.